This 700-nucleotide ribosomal RNA is filed under the name Mycobacteroides chelonae. Its description in RNAcentral is "bacterial SSU rRNA". It matches the Rfam family "Bacterial small subunit ribosomal RNA", at positions 71 to 787 of the family's 1533-position model. The record is from RNAcentral. Lineage: Bacteria; Bacillati; Actinomycetota; Actinomycetes; Mycobacteriales; Mycobacteriaceae.
AAAGGCCCUUCGGGGUACUCGAGUGGCGAACGGGUGAGUAACACGUGGGUGAUCUGCCCUGCACUCUGGGAUAAGCCUGGGAAACUGGGUCUAAUACCGGAUAGGACCACACACUUCAUGGUGAGUGGUGCAAAGCUUUUGCGGUGUGGGAUGAGCCCGCGGCCUAUCAGCUUGUUGGUGGGGUAAUGGCCCACCAAGGCGACGACGGGUAGCCGGCCUGAGAGGGUGACCGGCCACACUGGGACUGAGAUACGGCCCAGACUCCUACGGGAGGCAGCAGUGGGGAAUAUUGCACAAUGGGCGCAAGCCUGAUGCAGCGACGCCGCGUGAGGGAUGACGGCCUUCGGGUUGUAAACCUCUUUCAGUAGGGACGAAGCGAAAGUGACGGUACCUACAGAAGAAGGACCGGCCAACUACGUGCCAGCAGCCGCGGUAAUACGUAGGGUCCGAGCGUUGUCCGGAAUUACUGGGCGUAAAGAGCUCGUAGGUGGUUUGUCGCGUUGUUCGUGAAAACUCACAGCUUAACUGUGGGCGUGCGGGCGAUACGGGCAGACUAGAGUACUGCAGGGGAGACUGGAAUUCCUGGUGUAGCGGUGGAAUGCGCAGAUAUCAGGAGGAACACCGGUGGCGAAGGCGGGUCUCUGGGCAGUAACUGACGCUGAGGAGCGAAAGCGUGGGUAGCGAACAGGAUUAGAUACCC